AAUACUGCUUCUGCAUCUGUUUGGAAGCUUAAAAUGAGAUUUGUGAUUGCCUUAACUGCUAUCAUGGCCUGCAUUUGGCUUCUCUCGCUGCCUUCGCUGACCAUGGCGGUGUGCUGCAGGCCCACAAGGAUACGCUUCGAGGUGAAGCCCAGCAUAGAACAACGCACUUGUAGCACCUACGGUGGGGUGCAGGAUAAGAGAAAAAAGGCCUGCAAUGCAAAGAUCUGUAAUGAUGGCCAAAUUGUUCAAAAUCAGUGGUGCGGCAUAGGCAAGUGCAAUUCAGUUGGUUGUCGCUGCCAGAAUGGAUGCAUUGAGCCUCGAUCGGUGGCUGUUAAAAGUUUCCUGGAGAAGAAUGGAUUCUCCAAGUUUGUCUUUGUGCGAAGGACCCCCGCAAUAGUCAAAUAAUAAAGUCUUAAAUCACAACUCAAAUGUAUUGGUAGAAGAAAAUUGUGUUUGGUGAUAUUGAAAGCUGCAUUAUCGCAUUACCCAUUGAAAACAGAUGUUUUAUAUGUAGCUUAAGAAACAGCUUUGUAAUUUGUCAAAUAAAGAAACAGAUUUAUC
This 561-nucleotide long non-coding RNA is filed under the name Drosophila guanche. The record is from RNAcentral. Lineage: Eukaryota; Metazoa; Arthropoda; Insecta; Diptera; Drosophilidae.